AACGAACGCUGGCGGCAUGCCUAACACAUGCAAGUCGAACGAGGCCUUCGGGUCUAGUGGCGCACGGGUGCGUAACGCGUGGGAACCUGCCCUUAGGUUCGGAAUAACUCCCCGAAAGGGGUGCUAAUACCGGAUAAUGUCUUCGGACCAAAGAUUUAUCGCCUUUGGAUGGGCCCGCGUUGGAUUCGCUAGUUGGUAGGGUAAAAGCCUACCAAGGCGACGAUCCAUAGCUGGUCUGAGAGGAUGAUCAGCCACACUGGGACUGAGACACGGCCCAGACUCCUACGGGAGGCAGCAGUGGGGAAUAGUGGACAAUGGGCGAAAGCCUGAUCCAGCAAUGCCGCGUGAGUGAUGAAGGCCUUAGGGUUGUAAAGCUCUUUUACCCGGGAUGAUAAUGACAGUACCGGGAGAAUAAGCUCCGGCUAACUCCGUG
Molecule: ribosomal RNA, 433 nt
Filed under: uncultured bacterium
Lineage: Bacteria
Description: partial 16S ribosomal RNA
Rfam family: Bacterial small subunit ribosomal RNA
Source: RNAcentral